Molecule: ribosomal RNA, 200 nt
Filed under: uncultured bacterium
Lineage: Bacteria
Description: partial 16S ribosomal RNA
Rfam family: Bacterial small subunit ribosomal RNA
Source: RNAcentral
AUUGAACGCUGGCGGCAUGCUUUACGCAUGCAAGUCGAACGGUAACAGGCCGCAAGGUGCUGACGAGUGGCGAACGGGUGAGUAAUGCAUCGGAACGUGCCCAGUCGUGGGGGAUAACGCAGCGAAAGCUGCGCUAAUACCGCAUACGAUCUAUGGAUGAAAGCGGGGGACCGUAAGGCCUCGCGCGAUUGGAGCGGCCG